GACGUAGGGGGCGAGCGUUAUCCGGAUUUAUUGGGCGUAAAGGGCGCGUAGGCGGUCCGCAGCAGUGGCGCGUGGAAUCCCCCGGCUCAACCGGGGGGGGCCGCGCCAGACGGGCGGACUUGAGGGCGGCAGAGGGCCACGGAACGGGCGGAGUAGGGGUGAAAUCCGUAGAGACCGUCCGGAACACCGAUGGCGAAGGCAGUGGCCUGGGCCGUACCGCUCAUCCGUCCCGCAAGGGGCGGGUGGGUCCUGACGCUGAGGCGCGAAAGCGUGGGGAGCGAACGGAAUUAGAUACUCCGGUAGUCCACGCCCUAAACGAUGGCCGCUCGGUGUCGGGGGUAUCGACCCCCCCGGUGCCCCAGCUAACGCGGUAAGCGGCCCGCCUGGGGACUACGGCCGCAAGGCUAAA
RNAcentral lists this ribosomal RNA (409 nucleotides) under uncultured bacterium. RNAcentral's name for it is "partial 16S ribosomal RNA". It matches the Rfam family "Bacterial small subunit ribosomal RNA", at positions 524 to 898 of the family's 1533-position model. The record is from RNAcentral.